Molecule: ribosomal RNA, 1457 nt
Filed under: Salmonella enterica subsp. enterica serovar Infantis
Lineage: Bacteria; Pseudomonadati; Pseudomonadota; Gammaproteobacteria; Enterobacterales; Enterobacteriaceae
Description: bacterial SSU rRNA
Source: RNAcentral
UGACGAGUGGCGGACGGGUGAGUAAUGUCUGGGAAACUGCCUGAUGGAGGGGGAUAACUACUGGAAACGGUGGCUAAUACCGCAUAACGUCGCAAGACCAAAGAGGGGGACCUUCGGGCCUCUUGCCAUCAGAUGUGCCCAGAUGGGAUUAGCUWGUUGGUGAGGUAACGGCUCACCAAGGCGACGAUCCCUAGCUGGUCUGAGAGGAUGACCAGCCACACUGGAACUGAGACACGGUCCAGACUCCUACGGGAGGCAGCAGUGGGGAAUAUUGCACAAUGGGCGCAAGCCUGAUGCAGCCAUGCCGCGUGUAUGAAGAAGGCCUUCGGGUUGUAAAGUACUUUCAGCGGGGAGGAAGGUGUUGUGGUUAAUAACCGCAGCAAUUGACGUUACCCGCAGAAGAAGCACCGGCUAACUCCGUGCCAGCAGCCGCGGUAAUACGGAGGGUGCAAGCGUUAAUCGGAAUUACUGGGCGUAAAGCGCACGCAGGCGGUCUGUCAAGUCGGAUGUGAAAUCCCCGGGCUCAACCUGGGAACUGCAUUCGAAACUGGCAGGCUUGAGUCUUGUAGAGGGGGGUAGAAUUCCAGGUGUAGCGGUGAAAUGCGUAGAGAUCUGGAGGAAUACCGGUGGCGAAGGCGGCCCCCUGGACAAAGACUGACGCUCAGGUGCGAAAGCGUGGGGAGCAAACAGGAUUAGAUACCCUGGUAGUCCACGCCGUAAACGAUGUCUACUUGGAGGUUGUGCCCUUGAGGCGUGGCUUCCGGAGCUAACGCGUUAAGUAGACCGCCUGGGGAGUACGGCCGCAAGGUUAAAACUCAAAUGAAUUGACGGGGGCCCGCACAAGCGGUGGAGCAUGUGGUUUAAUUCGAUGCAACGCGAAGAACCUUACCUGGUCUUGACAUCCACAGAAGAAUCCAGAGAUGGAUUUGUGCCUUCGGGAACUGUGAGACAGGUGCUGCAUGGCUGUCGUCAGCUCGUGUUGUGAAAUGUUGGGUUAAGUCCCGCAACGAGCGCAACCCUUAUCCUUUGUUGCCAGCGGUCCGGCCGGGAACUCAAAGGAGACUGCCAGUGAUAAACUGGAGGAAGGUGGGGAUGACGUCAAGUCAUCAUGGCCCUUACGACCAGGGCUACACACGUGCUACAAUGGCGCAUACAAAGAGAAGCGACCUCGCGAGAGCAAGCGGACCUCAUAAAGUGCGUCGUAGUCCGGAUUGGAGUCUGCAACUCGACUCCAUGAAGUCGGAAUCGCUAGUAAUCGUGGAUCAGAAUGCCACGGUGAAUACGUUCCCGGGCCUUGUACACACCGCCCGUCACACCAUGGGAGUGGGUUGCAAAAGAAGUAGGUAGCUUAACCUUCGGGAGGGCGCUUACCACUUUGUGAUUCAUGACUGGGGUGAAGUCGUAACAAGGUAACCGUAGGGGAACCUGCGGUUGGAUCACCUCCUUACCUUAAAGAA